AGAUUGAACGCUGGCGGCAUGCCUAACACAUGCAAGUCGAGCGGCAGCGCGGGGGCAACCCUGGCGGCGAGCGGCGGACGGGUGAGUAAGGCAUCGGAAUCUGCCCUGAUGUGGGGGAUAACGUAGGGAAACUUACGCUAAUACCGCAUACGACCGAGAGGUGAAAGCGGGGGACCGAAAGGCCUCGCGCAGCAGGAUGAGCCGAUGUCCGAUUAGCUGGUUGGUGGGGUAAAGGCCUACCAAGGCGACGAUCGGUAGCUGGUCUGAGAGGAUGAUCAGCCACACUGGGACUGAGACACGGCCCAGACUCCUACGGGCGGCAGC
Molecule: ribosomal RNA, 324 nt
Filed under: uncultured prokaryote
Description: bacterial SSU rRNA
Rfam family: Bacterial small subunit ribosomal RNA
Source: RNAcentral